RNAcentral lists this ribosomal RNA (418 nucleotides) under uncultured bacterium. RNAcentral describes it as "bacterial SSU rRNA". It matches the Rfam family "Bacterial small subunit ribosomal RNA", at positions 358 to 773 of the family's 1533-position model. The record is from RNAcentral.
GGAAUAUUGGUCAAUGGACGCAAGUCUGAACCAGCCAUGCCGCGUGGAGGAUGAAGGUCCUCUGGAUUGUAAACUUCUUUUAUCUGGGAAGAAACCCAUAUUUUCCAAUGUGGUUGACGGUACCAGAUGAAUAAGCACCGGCUAACUCCGUGCCAGCAGCCGCGGUAAUACAGAGGGGGCAAGCGUUGUUCGGAAUUACUGGGCGUAAAGGGCGCGUAGGCGGCCUGCUAAGUCGAACGUGAAAUCCCCGAGCUCAACUCGGGAACUGCGUCCGAUACUGACAGGCUUGAAUCCGGGAGAGGGAUGCGGAAUUCCAGGUGUAGCGGUGAAAUGCGUAGAUAUCUGGAGGAACACCGGUGGCGAAGGCGGCAUCCUGGACCGGCAUUGACGCUGAGGCGCGAAAGCUAGGGGAGCAAAC